UUUCCGUAGGUGAACCUGCGGAAGGAUCAUUAGUGAAUCGAAUAUGUUAGCGGACCUCUUCGUAGUCCCUAGCAUCAAAUCAUAUCCAUAACACUUGUGAACUGUAAGUCUGUCUUGAAAAUUAAAUUGAUUAGAGCGCCUUCCCAGUUUAUACAAACAUUUAAGCAACAAACGUGGAGGUUUUAUAAUGUAAUAAAACUUUCAACAACGGAUCUCUUGGCUCUC
Molecule: unclassified non-coding RNA, 225 nt
Filed under: plant metagenome
Description: partial contains small subunit ribosomal RNA, internal transcribed spacer 1, and 5.8S ribosomal RNA
Source: RNAcentral